Molecule: long non-coding RNA, 650 nt
Filed under: Fragaria vesca (wild strawberry)
Lineage: Eukaryota; Viridiplantae; Streptophyta; Magnoliopsida; Rosales; Rosaceae
Description: long non-coding RNA (FVES_LNC004435)
Source: RNAcentral
CCGACCCGUAAAUUUUUACCUUAUUUACUAACUUGGUUAUAAUAAGAAUUUUACCGUCUCUGUCAUUGAAGUUAUAGUUUAAUUGGUCCCUAGAGGGGUUUCGGGGACGGUUAUGCUCGGAGGAUUAUUCGUAGGAGGAAAAUAUGACGACGGUAAAAAUGGUAAAUUUUAGCUAGUAAAAGGUAAUUUUUAUUCGGGUAUUAUUUUUUUCGGGGUGUUUUAUUUUGGAGUGGGUUGUUAUAUGGUGUUGGACCGGGUGGGUGUGAGGCCCAAACACCCAUUUCUUUUCCCUCUCUCUUCUUCUCUCCCUCCCGAACUCAUCCCGAGCUUUCCCGCAGCCGAAACUUCCGGCCGCACGUCCGCCGCCGUCCGGCCACCAACCGCCGCGGCACCGGUCCCGUUCGGUCGACCUCCAACCCAGCAACCUCCCUGGACCGGUGAGAGGAGCCCUAGCUCCGUAGUGAGAGAGCGGUGCCACCCGAAAGGUCCGACUGUCCAAAGCUUCACUUCGUCGGAACUCCCUCCUCCGGCCACCAAUCCGGGCAAGCUUGGUACGGUUUUGAAGGUCUCCAACCCAGCUGCCUUGCCCUAAAAGGGCUCACUCCGGUUCGCUUCAGGUAAGGAGAAAUUAAAGGUGGAAGUUUUAGGGU